RNAcentral lists this ribosomal RNA (393 nucleotides) under uncultured bacterium. RNAcentral's name for it is "partial 16S ribosomal RNA". It matches the Rfam family "Bacterial small subunit ribosomal RNA", at positions 523 to 918 of the family's 1533-position model. The record is from RNAcentral.
AUACGGAGGAUGCGAGCGUUAUCCGGAUUUAUUGGGUUUAAAGGGUGCGUAGGCGGACGAUUAAGUCAGCUGUGAAAUGCCCGCGCUUAACGCGGGAAGUGCAGUUGAUACUGGUUUCCUUGAGUACGGUACAGGUGGGCGGAAUUCGUGGUGUAGCGGUGAAAUGCUUAGAUAUCACGAAGAACUCCGAUCGCGAAGGCAGCUCACCGGGCCGGAACUGACACUGAUGCUCGAAAGUGCGGGUAUCAAACAGGAUUAGAUACCCUGGUAGUCCGCACAGUAAACGAUGAAUACUCGCUGUUUGCGAUACACGGUAAGCGGCCAAGCGAAAGCGUUAAGUAUUCCACCUGGGGAGUACGCCGGCAACGGUGAAACUCAAAGGAAUUGACGGGG